This 504-nucleotide long non-coding RNA is filed under the name Nicotiana benthamiana. RNAcentral's name for it is "long non-coding RNA (NBEN_LNC035437)". The record is from RNAcentral. Lineage: Eukaryota; Viridiplantae; Streptophyta; Magnoliopsida; Solanales; Solanaceae.
GAGAGGCUGUUUCCAAAUGGACCCCCGGCAUCCUUCCCUCCAAGAACUUCUCACCUUGCUCUUGGGGAGGCUCGAACUCACAACCUCUCGGUUGGAAGGGAAGUGGGAGUUGCUUACCAUCAGAGAUCCCUCUUGCCAAGAUUAAUCGUUUGGGCAUUAAUGAUUAGGAAGGAUAAUGGGACAGUGCAGAUUGAUUUUCCUGGUUCUGCAUCAACUCACCAACCCUACUAUUAUUAAUAUUAUAAAACCUUCGCACUGCUUCACGACGGUUUCCUUAUAAUUUGCAAAGUGAAGAUUUCCACUUUCUUUUUUGGGUAAUGAAGCGAAUCUGUAAUUAUGCUUUUGGAAUUUUCUUUUUUCCAUUGAAUUUUCAAUCGAAAUAUAUCCAUAAGAAUAAGAUUAGUACAGUAUAUUAUAUGCUUAAUUUGUUGAGUCAGAAUACUAGUAACUGAGAAUUACCAAUAACUAUUAUGCUUUGAUUCCAAAUUAUUUAUGUCAGUUAUA